GUGACCACCAGAGCAGCACAUGCGCUAAAACUGAAACUGUUCAGAGAAGAUUCUCAUGCCUCUGCUCAAGAAUGUCAGGCAAACCCAUCAAGUGGUCUUUAGUUUU
Molecule: small nuclear RNA, 106 nt
Organism: Microtus ochrogaster (prairie vole)
Lineage: Eukaryota; Metazoa; Chordata; Mammalia; Rodentia; Cricetidae
Source: Ensembl